AGGUCUCGUGUGUUCAUGCUAUCUGCAGUCGUACUAGCUUCCGUUAAUUGAUUAUGACGUACUUGUACUGAUUGAGAUUUUAACACGAAGUGAGUGGCGAACGGGUGAGUAACACGUGGGUAACCUGCCCAGAAGUAGGGGAUAACACCUGGAAACAGAUGCUAAUACCGUAUAACAGAGAAAACCGCAUGGUUUUCUUUUAAAAGAUGGCUCUGCUAUCACUUCUGGAUGGACCCGCGGCGUAUUAGCUAGUUGGUGAGGUAAAGGCUCACCAAGGCAGUGAUACGUAGCCGACCUGAGAGGGUAAUCGGCCACAUUGGGACUGAGACACGGCCCAGACUCCUACGGGAGGCAGCAGUAGGGAAUCUUCCACAAUGGACGCAAGUCUGAUGGAGCAACGCCGCGUGAGUGAAGAAGGGUUUCGGCUCGUAAAGCUCUGUUGUUAAAGAAGAACGUGGGUAAGAGUAACUGUUUACCCAGUGACGGUAUUUAACCAGAAAGCCACGGCUAACUACGUGCCAGCAGCCGCGGUAAUACGUAGGUGGCAAGCGUUAUCCGGAUUUAUUGGGCGUAAAGCGAGCGCAGGCGGUCUUUUAAGUCUAAUGUGAAAGCCUUCGGCUCAACCGAAGAAGUGCAUUGGAAACUGGGAGACUUGAGUGCAGAAGAGGACAGUGGAACUCCAUGUGUAGCGGUGAAAUGCGUAGAUAUAUGGAAGAACACCAGUGGCGAAGGCGGCUGUCUGGUCUGCAACUGACGCUGAGGCUCGAAAGCAUGGGUAGCGAACAGGAUUAGAUACCCUGGUAGUCCAUGCCGUAAACGAUGAUUACUAAGUGUUGGAGGGUUUCCGCCCUUCAGUGCUGCAGCUAACGCAUUAAGUAAUCCGCCUGGGGAGUACGACCGCAAGGUUGAAACUCAAAAGAAUUGACGGGGGCCCGCACAAGCGGUGGAGCAUGUGGUUUAAUUCGAAGCUACGCGAAGAACCUUACCAGGUCUUGACAUCUUCUGACAGUCUAAGAGAUUAGAGGUUCCCUUCGGGGACAGAAUGACAGGUGGUGCAUGGUUGUCGUCAGCUCGUGUCGUGAGAUGUUGGGUUAAGUCCCGCAACGAGCGCAACCCUUAUUACUAGUUGCCAGCAUUAAGUUGGGCACUCUAGUGAGACUGCCGGUGACAAACCGGAGGAAGGUGGGGACGACGUCAAAUCAUCAUGCCCCUUAUGACCUGGGCUACACACGUGCUACAAUGGAUGGUACAACGAGUCGCGAAACCGCGAGGUUAAGCUAAUCUCUUAAAACCAUUCUCAGUUCGGACUGUAGGCUGCAACUCGCCUACACGAAGUCGGAAUCGCUAGUAAUCGCGGAUCAGCAUGCCGCGGUGAAUACGUUCCCGGGCCUUGUACACACCGCCCGUCACACCAUGAGAGUGGGGUUCCCGUUGUUGACGACCUUACAGGAUGUGCAUGAUGCACCAGUGGCACUAGUCCUACCGCUC
Molecule: ribosomal RNA, 1488 nt
Filed under: Pediococcus pentosaceus
Lineage: Bacteria; Bacillati; Bacillota; Bacilli; Lactobacillales; Lactobacillaceae
Description: bacterial SSU rRNA
Rfam family: Bacterial small subunit ribosomal RNA
Source: RNAcentral